AUUGAACGCUGGCGGCAGGCCUAACACAUGCAAGUCGAGCGGAUGAGUGGAGCUUGCUCCAUGAUUCAGCGGCGGACGGGUGAGUAAUGCCUAGGAAUCUGCCUGGUAGUGGGGGACAACGUUUCGAAAGGAACGCUAAUACCGCAUACGUCCUACGGGAGAAAGUGGGGGAUCUUCGGACCUCACGCUAUCAGAUGAGCCUAGGUCGGAUUAGCCAGUUGGUGAGGUAAAGGCUCACCAAGGCGACGAUCCGUAACUGGUCUGAGAGGAUGAUCAGUCACACUGGAACUGAGACACGGUCCAGACUCCUACGGGAGGCAGCAGUGGGGAAUAUUGGACAAUGGGCGAAAGCCUGAUCCAGCCAUGCCGCGUGUGUGAAGAAGGUCUUCGGAUUGUAAAGCACUUUAAGUUGGGAGGAAGGGCAGUAAGUUAAUACCUUGCUGUUUUGACGUUACCAACAGAAUAAGCACCGGCUAACUUCGUG
Molecule: ribosomal RNA, 484 nt
Filed under: uncultured bacterium
Lineage: Bacteria
Description: partial 16S ribosomal RNA
Rfam family: Bacterial small subunit ribosomal RNA
Source: RNAcentral